AGGACGAACGCUGGCGGCGUGCUUAACACAUGCAAGUCGAGCGGAAAGGCCCUUCGGGGUACUCGAGCGGCGAACGGGUGAGUAACACGUGAGUAAUCUGCCCCUAGCUCUGGGAUAGCUCCGGGAAAACCGGGAUUAAUACCAGAUACGACCACUUUAGACAUCUGUCGUGGUGGAAAGGAUUCCGGCUAGGGAUGGGCUCGCGGCCUAUCAGCUUGUUGGUGGGGUAACGGCCUACCAAGGCGACGACGGGUA
Molecule: ribosomal RNA, 255 nt
Filed under: uncultured bacterium
Lineage: Bacteria
Description: partial small subunit ribosomal RNA
Rfam family: Bacterial small subunit ribosomal RNA
Source: RNAcentral